AGGCCUCUGGCUACAGAUGUACCUACACUGGUGUUUGUCCAGAAGACUCGGGGAUAAGGCUGCUGGCUUUUGUAGCUGUCUUACAGGAUCCCAGUUUCCCGAUGAACAAACCAUCGCUCAGACCCAUCAAGUGCCUCUCUCAGUGGUGUUUGAUUAGGCCUCCAGUUCAGAAGACUGCCUCUGGCCGAGACGUUCACAGGAAAUGAGGGAGAAGGCAGCAGGUUGACCCUGCAGCACCUCUACGAGGCAGAUACAAGGACUACCCGUAUUUCAGGUGAACUCUCCCAUUAAAGAAAAAGUCAAAAUGGA
This is a long non-coding RNA of Mustela lutreola (European mink), 309 nucleotides long. RefSeq lists it as uncharacterized. The record is from RefSeq and is a predicted model, not a curated record. The transcript has 4 exons. NCBI's taxonomy places the organism in Eukaryota, Metazoa, Chordata, Mammalia, Carnivora, Mustelidae.